AUAUAAUGACGAUAUGUAUAUACGGUCUUGACAAAAUACGUGCCAGCAGUCGCGGUAAUACGUAUGAGACUAGCGUUAUUCAUCUUAAAUAGGUUUAAAGGGUACUCAAACGGUCAGAUUAUCCUUUAAUAGGUAAUAUUUGUCUAGAGUUUUAUGUAAGAAGACAGUACUUAGAGUGGAGAGAUUAUAUUCUGUGAUACCAAAGGGACUGGCAACGGCGUAGGCAGUCUUUUAUGUAAAAACUGACGUUGAAGGACGAAGGCAUAGAUCGCAAACAGGAUUUGACACCCCAGUAGUCUUUGCAGACAAUGAUGAAUGCCGUAGAUUAGAUGAGAAUUUAGUCUAUCAAUGAAAAUAAAAGCAUUUCACCUCAAGAGUAAUGUGGCAA
This 388-nucleotide ribosomal RNA is filed under the name Verticillium dahliae. Its description in RNAcentral is "SSU rRNA". It matches the Rfam family "Bacterial small subunit ribosomal RNA", at positions 464 to 891 of the family's 1533-position model. The record is from RNAcentral. Lineage: Eukaryota; Fungi; Ascomycota; Sordariomycetes; Glomerellales; Plectosphaerellaceae.